GAUUUUUUCCGUUCUUGAACCCGCCACAUCUGUAAACGUUGUCCUUAAUUCUAUGUACCCCCUGACCUCCACCUGGUCACCAGCGAAACCAUACAAACACCCUCCAUAGGGCCUCAACUGGUCAAGGGGCAGCUCCAACUGCGUGAAAGUCGGCCAAAACAUCACAUCUGCCGAGCUUCCUUGGUCCACUAGCACCCUGUGGACCUUUCUUCCUGCUGUUAUCAGCGAAAUUACUAUGGGAUCGUUGUCAUGAGGCACAACAUC
RNAcentral lists this long non-coding RNA (264 nucleotides) under Phaseolus vulgaris (common bean). Its description in RNAcentral is "long non-coding RNA (PVUL_LNC002891)". Lineage: Eukaryota; Viridiplantae; Streptophyta; Magnoliopsida; Fabales; Fabaceae. The record is from RNAcentral.